AUUUUAGUGGCGGACGGGUGAGUAACGCGUGAGGAUCUGCCUAUAGGUUGGGGACAACAGAUGGAAACGUCUGCUAAUACCCAAUGUGCCGAGAGGUGAAAGCUUUAGUGCCUGUAGAUGAGCUCGCGUCCGAUUAGCUAGUUGGUAGGGUAAAGGCUUACCAAGGCGACGAUCAGUAGCUGGUCUGAGAGGAUGAUCAGCCACACUGGGACUGAGACACGGCCCAGACUCCUACGGGAGGCAGCAGUGGGGAAUUUUCCGCAAUGGGCGCAAGCCUGACGGAGCAAGACCGCGUGCGGGAGGAAGGUCUAUUGAUUGUAAACCGCUUUUGAUAGGGAAGAAGAUCUGACGGUACCUAUCGAAUCAGCAUCGGCUAACUCCGUGCCAGCAGCCGCGGUAAUACGGGGGAUGCAAGCGUUAUCCGGAAUUAUUGGGCGUAAAGCGUCCGUAGGUGGUUUUAAAAGUCUGUUGUCAAAUCGCGAGGCUUAACCUCGUACAGGCAGUGGAAACUAUAAGACUAGAGUGCGGUAGGGGUAGAGGGAAUUUCCAGUGUAGCGGUGAAAUGCGUAGAUAUUGGAAAGAACACCGGUGGCGAAGGCGCUCUACUGGGCCUGCACUGACACUGAGGGACGAAAGCUAGGGGAGCGAAAGGGAUUAGAUACCCCUGUAGUCCUAGCCGUAAACGAUGNNAACUAGGUGUUGCCCGUAUCGACCCGAGCCGUGCCGAA
This 728-nucleotide ribosomal RNA is filed under the name uncultured cyanobacterium. Its description in RNAcentral is "bacterial SSU rRNA". It matches the Rfam family "Bacterial small subunit ribosomal RNA", at positions 89 to 850 of the family's 1533-position model. Lineage: Bacteria; Bacillati; Cyanobacteriota. The record is from RNAcentral.